This 247-nucleotide long non-coding RNA is filed under the name Lathyrus oleraceus (garden pea). RNAcentral's name for it is "Pisum sativum (pea) long non-coding RNA (PSAT_LNC032941)". Lineage: Eukaryota; Viridiplantae; Streptophyta; Magnoliopsida; Fabales; Fabaceae. The record is from RNAcentral.
GGUUACCAAUUUCAUGUCAUUUGGAUUUGAAAUGAUAGAGUUAUGCAUUUUUGAAGUUUGGAAAAAUCACUUGAUCAAUGGUAUAGGUCAAAAGUGACCUAUAAUGUAGCCUCAUAUCAAGGUUACCAAUUUCAUGUCAUUUGGAUUUGAAAUGAUAGAGUUAUGCAUUUUUGAAGUUUGGAAAAAUCACUUGAUCAAUGGUAUAGGUCAAAAGUGACCUAUAAUGUAGCCUCAUAUCACAUGCUCA